ACUCAAAGGAAUAGACGGGGACCCGCACAAGCGGUGGAGCAUGUGGUUUAAUUCGAGGCAACGCGAAGAACCUUACCAGGCCUUGACAUGGGGAGUUUGGGAUACAGAAACGUAUCCCUUCAGUUUGGCUGGCUCCCACACAGGUGCUGCAUGGCUGUCGUCAGCUCGUGUCGUGAGAUGUUGGGUUAAGUCCCGCAACGAGCGCAACCCUCACUCUUAGUUGCCACCAGGUUAUGCUGGGCACUCUAAGGGAACUGCCGGUGAUAAGCCGGAGGAAGGUGGGGAUGACGUCAAGUCUUCAUGGCCCUUACGGCCUGGGCUACACACGUGCUACAAUGGUGGUGACAGAGAGCUGCAACCCUGCAAGGGGUAGCUAAUCUCCAAAAGCCAUCUCAGUUCGGAUUGCACUCUGCAACUCGAGUGCAUGAAGCUGGAAUCGCUAGUAAUCGCGCAUCAGCUCGGCGCGGUGAAUACGUUCCCGGGUCUUGUACACACCGCCCGU
This 502-nucleotide ribosomal RNA is filed under the name uncultured bacterium. RNAcentral describes it as "partial 16S ribosomal RNA". It matches the Rfam family "Bacterial small subunit ribosomal RNA", at positions 899 to 1397 of the family's 1533-position model. The record is from RNAcentral.